RNAcentral lists this unclassified non-coding RNA (328 nucleotides) under uncultured fungus. Its description in RNAcentral is "partial contains small subunit ribosomal RNA, internal transcribed spacer 1, and 5.8S ribosomal RNA". The stretch from base 1 to 73 matches the Rfam family "Eukaryotic small subunit ribosomal RNA", at positions 1759 to 1831 of the family's 1831-position model. The record is from RNAcentral. Lineage: Eukaryota; Fungi.
GCAAACUUGGUCAUUUAGAGGAAGUAAAAGUCGUAACAAGGUUUCCGUAGGUGAACCUGCGGAAGGAUCAUUAUUGAGUGAGGGUUUCUUUUUUAGAGCCCAACCUCCAACCCUUGUGUUUAUUAUACCAUUGUUGCUUCGGCGGGACGUGUUUUUACGAAAGUGAAAACCGCCGGCGGUCUUUUUGACUUCUGGAGAGUCGCCCGUCGAUGGCCCUUAUUUUAAACUCUGAAUAAAGAACAAGUAGUACAGUCUAAGUUUGAUACAAAAAUAAAGCAAAACUUUCAACAACGGAUCUCUUGGUUCUGGCAUCGAUGAAGAACGCAGC